This 621-nucleotide ribosomal RNA is filed under the name uncultured marine archaeon. RNAcentral's name for it is "bacterial SSU rRNA". It matches the Rfam family "Archaeal small subunit ribosomal RNA", at positions 20 to 648 of the family's 1478-position model. The record is from RNAcentral.
GCACUGACUGCUAUCGGAUUGAUACUAAGCCAUGCGAGUCUUUGUAGCAAUACAAGGCAGACGGCUCAGUAACACGUAGUCAAUCUACCCUAUGGACGGGAAUAACCUCGGGAAACUGAGAAUAAUACCCGAUAGAUCAUAAUGCCUGGAAUGGCUUAUGGUCCAAAUGAUACGUCGCCGUAGGAUGGGACUGCGGUCUAUCAGCUUGUUGGUGAGGUAAUGGCCCACCAAGGCUAUAACAGAUACGGGCUCUGAGAGGAGAAGCCCGGAGAUGGGUACUGAGACACGGACCCAGGCCCUAUGGGGCGCAGCAGGCGAGAAAACUUUGCAAUGUGCGAAAGCACGACAAGGUUAAUCCGAGUGUUUUCUGCUAAAGAAAUCUUUUGUUAGUUUUAAUACCACUAAUGAAUAAGGGGUGGGCAAGUUCUGGUGUCAGCCGCCGCGGUAAAACCAGCACCUCAAGUGGUCAGGAGGAUUAUUGGGCCUAAAGCAUCCGUAGCCGGCUAUGUUAGUUUUCGGUUAAAUCCAUGUGCUCAACAUAUGGGCUGUCGAGAAUACUGCGUAGCUAGGGAGUGGGAGAGGUAGACGGUACUCGUAGGAAGGGGUAAAAUCCUUUGAUCU